AUCUACGGCCACAGAACCUGUAAAACGCCGCAUCCCGUCCGUUCUGCGCAGCUAAGUCAGGUAUCGCUCGAUUAGUGUCAAAGUGGGGGACCAUUUGGGAAACCCGAGUGCUGUAGUUA
Kwoniella mangroviensis CBS 10435 is the source of this 119-nucleotide ribosomal RNA. NCBI's taxonomy places the organism in Eukaryota, Fungi, Basidiomycota, Tremellomycetes, Tremellales, Cryptococcaceae. The record is from Rfam.